RNAcentral lists this long non-coding RNA (314 nucleotides) under Nicotiana benthamiana. RNAcentral describes it as "long non-coding RNA (NBEN_LNC015836)". The record is from RNAcentral. Lineage: Eukaryota; Viridiplantae; Streptophyta; Magnoliopsida; Solanales; Solanaceae.
CAUUUCACAUAUUGUAUAUGGUUCCAAGAGGUACCUGGAAAGUAGAAAAAGUAAGAAGAUUGAGGAAAUCAGCAACAAGAAACAACAAUCAACCCCAAUUCAACCAACCAAGCGAUGAAAUCCGCUUAAAACCCCAAUGGAACAGUAACCCUCAAUAAAGCUUGAACCCAAAUGUUUAAAAACACAAUAUCAAUCCAUUUCAAAUCCCAGAAUGAGAAGCUAUUGUUUUUCAUAAAUUGAAAAGAAUCAUAAAUCACUGAAGAAGUUCAAUGAAACAGUAAAAAUUCAGCCGUUUGUACUUUCUCUUGAUUUUU